ACUCAACCUAUGUGGUAGAACUAGCAACAGAACAUAGAACUCAUGAUCCUACAUGGUACCCAUCAGCCUUGGUUCCCACGAGAGCAACCAUCCUUUGUGCGCCUAUCACCAUCCUCAAUAAAAUCAAUCACCAAAAAACUAUCACUCAACCUAUGUGGUAGAACUAGCAACAGAACAUAGAACUCAUGAUCCUACAUGGUACCCAUCAGCCUUGGUUCCCACGAGAGCAACCAUCUGUAUCCAAUUUCAGCUUAGCAAAGCAAGAAAAUAUUCCAUAAAUAAGCAACAGACCUAGGACGAGGUCAUCAUAAGCACCCUUCUCUUCUUAAUAUCAUGAAAAGAUACUGAUGUAGCUUCAAAAUCAUUUGUAAUGGCACCCAAGGCCAGGACCUUUUUGGGUUAGGUUAAGUUGGAUGUUAGCCAUACUCUAUAUUAGCAUUCAAUACUUUUCCAAAUAUCUCCAACCUCCACAAUCUGACCUGGCUUAAUGGAAACUCAUGUUACAACCUUAGUUUUAGCUAGAGUUAGGAUGGGUUGGUUAAGUUGGUAGAAUUAUUUUAUGUUGGUUAGGUUGAGAGGAGAACCAAAAUCAAUGUAUAUGGAUCAGUAUAUCAUUUUCAAGUUUGAUUUCUCAGCAAGUGGAUUCAAGGAAACCUUUUAAAUAAAAGUGGAUUCAAAGGCUAUUUGAUUUAUUUGUUAAGCAUUGUGGCUGAGUAUAUAAGGAUAUUUUAUGAGUUAUAAGUGUUCUGGGGUGUGGCAAUAUACAUUCAAUCCCUACUUUUAAGUUAUGACUCACAUAUAUAUAUGAAUUCUAUAUUAUGCAUUGUAUGUUUGCUGUUAUAUUAUAUAUAUAAACCAUGGUUUGAUUUGGUUGGGCUGACACCUUUAAGCAAGCACAAUCGGUUGGGGCUCUGAGGGGAAGUUUUAUUCUGAAGCUCAACCAUAAGCAUUGCAACUCUGACCCUAACCUGCCCAAAAUCAAAGUUGACUUAGUUUGGUUGGCAGUUGGCUCAAUGUAUUGAAGUUCUUAAGAGUUAGUACCUUUUAUAUGAAAUUUUAGCAUACUUGACAUGCUUUGUUGUUGGAUAACUAUCAACCUUGCUGAAAAUGCCCUAUGAUUCAACUAAUGCCCUUCAUGAUGCAUGUGUGAGUAUGCAGACAUAUACAUAUCCUUCAAUUCCUUUCAUUAUUAAAUGACAAACGCAUUGUGUCUUUAUUGGCUUAAUGUCCUUAUCUUAUUAUUUUGUGGACCUUGCCAAUAAAUAUAUAAGGUAUAUAUUUUUAAUUUACCCUCCUCUACUUUUAUAUUGUGUUUUCAUGUUUCAGUAUAAUUUGAAAAUCAAACCAAACAUGAAAUUUGAAAAUCAAAUUUGAACACCAGAGACAACGCUUAUGUUAGGUACCAGAUUCUUCUCAUGGAGAAAGAAAUUUUGGGAAAGCUGGACUGCUGGUAUUAACAUUUCCUACACUAUGCUUCCUUAUUUCGAUUUACUUUUUUUGGAACUUUUUAUGGGGUUAAUGUGUUAAUGAAUGGCCAUGAAAUGCAUGAGUUUGUACUGUAGAGAACUGUUUCAUAUAAUAGUUAACACGAUCUUCAUAUUGGGGAAAUGACUGUGAGAAAAACCUCGGCAUUUUCAACAAGAUGCCAAGGGGUCAGAUCCUGUUAUGGUUGAAAAAAAGAAUGGUUUAGUUUUAUUUUCUUUUGUUUACAUAUGCUCAAACCAUGCACACUGAUGACUUGUUACAUGUUAAGUAUGUUAAUUAUUCUUUUCAAACAUUUGCAAAUAUAUUAGCAGAGUUACCAAGGAGAGAGAAAGAAACAAAUAUUAAACCUGAUCCUGAUAUUGAUAUCUUCAUGAAGAUUGGAGAUUAGAGAAGGACAUGUUUGGUAAUCUGGAGAGCAAGAGCUUGCUCAU
Camellia sinensis is the source of this 1916-nucleotide non-coding RNA. The record is from RefSeq and is a predicted model, not a curated record. NCBI's taxonomy places the organism in Eukaryota, Viridiplantae, Streptophyta, Magnoliopsida, Ericales, Theaceae.